Molecule: ribosomal RNA, 397 nt
Filed under: uncultured bacterium
Lineage: Bacteria
Description: partial 16S ribosomal RNA
Rfam family: Bacterial small subunit ribosomal RNA
Source: RNAcentral
AUACGUAGGUGACAAGCGUUAUCCGGAUUUACUGGGCGUAAAGGGCGUGUAGGCGGUCUUGCAAGUCAGAAGUGAAAUUCCUGAGCUCAACUCGGGCGCUGCUUCUGAAACUGCAGGACUUGAGUGCUGGAGGGGAUAGCGGAAUUCCUAGUGGAGCGGUAAAAUGCGCAGAUAUUAGGAAGAACACCGGUGGCGAAGGCGGCUAACUGGACAGUAACUGACGCUGUGGCGCGAAAGCGUGGGGACCAAACAGGAUUAGAUACCCUGGAAGUCCACGCCGUAAACGAUGGAUACUAGGUGUAGGAGGUAUCGACCCCUUCUGUGCCGGAGUUAACACAAUAAGUAUUCCGCCUGGGGAGUACGGCCGCAAGGUUGAAACUCAAAGGAAUUGACGGGG